RNAcentral lists this long non-coding RNA (1905 nucleotides) under Theobroma cacao (cacao). Its description in RNAcentral is "long non-coding RNA (TCAC_LNC001372)". The record is from RNAcentral. Lineage: Eukaryota; Viridiplantae; Streptophyta; Magnoliopsida; Malvales; Malvaceae.
AAUAUUCUAUUUUCUUAUAAAACAAUAUUUAUAGAGUUAUACGUGAAUAAUUUUUAUAGCGUAAAAGCUAAAUAAAUUUAUACAUACUAAAAUACAAUAAGCAAAAAUAUUUAAUUUAAUUUACAAUAACAAGAAGGUCCCCAAAUAAACAAAAGUAAAGAGGACUGUGAACCUACGGUUUGGAAAAUGCAGAUCCAACGGUAGUCCUCAAUGAGAUCAGCUAUCUACAACUUAUACUGAACCUAAAAUGGGUGGAAAUGAGGGUGGUGAGAUUAUAAAAUCUCAAUAAGUAAACAGACAUCAUCAUAAAUAUCUAGAGUUGAGUACAUGGAGACAAUAAAGUAAAUCAUCGUAAACUGAGUCUCAGCAUUAUAAACAUUUCAUUUAAAAUACGUAAAGAGGCUUAUGAAUCUCAUAAAAACUAGGCUUAUGCCAUAAAUCCAUUCUCAGGGACACCUUGGCUGAGGCAUCCUACAGAGACCGCUAAGGUUAUUAAAAUUCACAUUUCACAUAAAUCAUGUUUUUGUUUUGAAAACAUAGUCAUUCCUUAGCGUUGGCUGAGUUCCCCCUCACGUGGUGGUUUGGCGUGAAGUGAACCCUAAGUUUUACCCCAGGAGAUACCCUACGCGCCUCUCCGUUCGAGGUAAGAAUCUAAUGGGGUUUACCGUACCCCUCUAAAGGCUGGUUCACAGAAACCCCUUACUGCAGUGAUUAAUUAAUAUAUAUAAUCCACCAUACAAUAAAACUCAAUAACAUGAUAUGGCAAUUUUGUAAUUCACAGUCUUUCAAGGCAAUCAAACAAUUCGCAUUUCAAUACAAUUGCCAACUAACCAAUCAUGCCCGAUUUAUCAUAAGCCAAUCAAUUUAAACAAUCAAAUUGUCACAAUUAACAGUCUCCGUGUACUCUAUUUUUCAAAAUCACUAUUAAUUUCAAAAUAAUUUAUAAUUUAAUUUCAUUGACGCACAUUUAUUCAUAAAACAUGAAAAUUUACCUUUUUAAAUUCCUUUUUCCAUGAAAUUCAUGAAAUCAUCUAAAAACCACCCUAGAUAAUUAAAAUGACAGUAAGUUUACUCACAAUGUCUAGAAUGCAGACUUUCGACGUACUUUGUCUACUGGUCCUCGGAUGCAAUUUUCUUGCCUUUAUCGGAGGACUCACCACCUUGACACAGUACAAAAUCGAGAAAUUCACUACAUUGGUACUAAAUUGAAAUUAAACUAAUUUAGACUAUUAAUGCAUAAUAUGGAAUGCAAAAAUGCACUGGUAACUAUCUAAACUUGGUAUUGGCCUAAUUCGUCUUAUCACCCGAUUAAAUUACUAAUGCGUCCAAUUUAAUCUCAAAUUAAUUUUGUUUCAGUUUCUAUACCUCAAUUGCACGCAAAUUGACUUAAUGUCCCUCAGUGUGGUGCAAAUUAUCAGUCCCGAUAGUAAAUUACAAAAAUAGCCUUAGUGGGUAAAAAUUCGUAUUUUUGCUCCGAAAAUUUCCAUUAUUUUUCUAGGCUCAUAAUUCAUCAUUUCUUAACCAAUUCUCCUAGAAUAAAAAUCAAACUCAUCCUCACUCAUACAUGGUAAAUUCGACCAUUAAUGGUUGUGGGAGAAAAUAAAUUCUUUUCUUGUUGUUUUGUUUCUAAAUAUGCUAAAUUAACUAAAAAUACUAACAUAACUUAAAAUCAAAUUAAUCCAACAACUUUCUCUCUCCUAACCCAUUUUGAUCAGCCAACAAUUCAUCAUAAAAACAUAUAAUUUAAGCAUGAAAAAUAAGGAGAAAUGCUUAAGGAAAAUGGAUUUCAAGCUUAAGUUGAAAAAUCCAACCUUUUUCACUUGUUUUCCUUGAUUUUCCACACUUUUUCUCUUGAAAUUCCUCACCUAGGGUUUGUUCUUCCUCUUUCUCUCUCUUCCUUGCUUG